CAUGCACAUUAAUAGAGCUUGGAACGAAGGCCACUGGCUGCCAAUGAACCCUCAAGUGUAGGUACUAUGCUACGUGAAGGCAAGUUUUUCACUAACACCACAAGGGUCUUUGGUCCAAUAAAUGGAGUUGAAUAGUAAUUCUUGCUACAAGU
Choloepus hoffmanni (Hoffmann's two-fingered sloth) is the source of this 152-nucleotide small nucleolar RNA. NCBI's taxonomy places the organism in Eukaryota, Metazoa, Chordata, Mammalia, Pilosa, Megalonychidae. The record is from Ensembl.